Molecule: long non-coding RNA, 7578 nt
Filed under: Lynx pardinus (Iberian lynx)
Lineage: Eukaryota; Metazoa; Chordata; Mammalia; Carnivora; Felidae
Source: RNAcentral
GGAAACAUGAUACCCUAAUUCAGGCUCAUGCCCGAGAACUGACCCACUUACGACAGAAGAUACGAGAAGGGAAAGGUGUCUGUUAUCUUUUCAUUCAGCAUACGAAGAGCAUAGUGAAGUCUUUUGAGGGCCUCCUCAGGAGUGCUGACAUUCCCUACUACCAGGGACAGAGAUUCUGUGAGCAGCUGGCCCAAGGAAGCCAGCUGGCAGAGAGCCUUGCCAGCAAACUCAUCACUGGUAAGUUGGCUUACGGGUUCUGGAGACCCUUAGCUCCUCCCAAGGUCCUAGCCUCACAUAAGUCUCCAUGCUUCCACAUGACUCUAAGAGUGACAUUUUAGCCAGUUGUCCAGCUGUUUUGUGCCCUUCUCAGCCUAUUGAUAGUGAUGCUAUUAGGUAGAACUACCUAGGGGCACUCACCUGGGCCCAAGGUGAGCCCCCAUAGACAUUUCUUUCUUUUAAGGAUAAUUGAUUUACACUGAAUUGGCCCACUGUAGUGUCAGUUCUGUGAGCUUUGAGAAAUCCAUACAGUGCUGUAAGCACUGCCACGAUCAAGAUGUAGAGCAGUCCCAUCACCACUCACAGUUCCUUUGUGCCUCUGUGUAGUCAGCCAUUGUGCCCAACCCCAGUUACUGGCAAUCACUGGAUCUGUUUUCUGUCCCUACAGAUUUUCCAUCUCCAGAAUGUAUCAGUAGUUGGUUUCCUUUUUUACUGUUAAGUACUGUGCCGUUAUACAGACGUACCACUUUUAUUUAUCCAUUCAUCCACUGAAGAACAUUUGGAUUAUUUCCAGUCUGGGGCUAUUAUGAAUAAUAGCUCUAAAGAUUCACCUGCAGAUUUUGGUGUGAAAAUAUGUGGGGUUUUUUAAAUGUUUGUUUCUUUAUUUUGAGAGAGAAUGAGUGGGGGAGAGGGGCAGAGGGAGAGGUAGGGACAGAGAGAGAGAGAGAGAGAGAAUCCCAAGCACUGAGUGUGGAGCCUCACUUGGGGCUCGAUUCCACGACUGUGAGAUCAUAACCUGAGCAGAAACCAAGAGUUGGACGCUUAACCAACUGAGCCACCCAGGAGCCCCUGAAAAUAUGUUUUCACUCACUUCACUUGGGUAAAUAGGAGUAGGAUUGCUGGGUCAUGUGGUAAAUGCACGUUUAACCUAGAAGAAACUGCUACACUGGUUUCCAAUGUGGCUAUACCAUUUCAGAUCCCAUUGGCAAUGUGUAAAAGUUACAGCUGUUCCCCAGUAUUAACUUUUGAUAUUUUCAGGUUGUUGUUCUUUUGCUUUUUGUCUUUUUAGCAAUUGUAAUAAGUGUGGGGAGGGCAUAGCAUUGUGGUUUAAAACAGAUUUUUCUUUUAACGUUUAUUCAUUUUUCUUGAGAGACAGCACAAGUGGGAGUGGGGCAGAGAGAGAGGGAGACACAGAAUCUGAAGCAGGCUCCAGGCUCUGAGUUGUCAGCACAGAGCCUGAUGCGGGGCUCGAACUCAUGAACCGUGAGAUCAUGAUCUGAGCCAAUGUCAGAUACUUAACCGACGGAGCCACCCAGGCACCCAUGCAUUGUGGUUUUAAUAUGCAUUUCCCUGAUGACUAAUAAUUUUGAGGUUCUUUUCAUAUGCCUGUUGACUCUCCUUGUAUCUUUGGUGAACCAAGUGUUCAUAUUUUGUCAUUUAAAAUUGAUUUGUUUGUUUUAUUAUUAUCAAGUCUUGAGGGUUCUUUGCAUUUCUGGAUACAAGUACUUUAUGAGAUGUUUAACUUGCAAAUAUUUUCUCCCAGUUUGUGGCUUAUCUUUUCAUUCUCCUAACGUAUCUUUCAGAAAGCAGAAUUUCUUAAUUUUAUGAAGUACAACUUAUGGAUCAUGCUUUUGAAGUUAUAUCUAAGAACACUCUACCUAAAAAUAAGGUUCUUUGCUUUUCCAUAUAAAUUUUACAAUCAGCUUGCCAUUAUCUGUAAACAACAACAAACUCCUUCUGGGAUUUUGAGUCACAUUGCUUUCAAUCUAUGAAAAGUUUGAGAAGAAUUGAUAUUCUUAUUAAUAUUGAGUUUUCUAAUGAUCAUAGUACCUUAUCAGGUUGAGGAAGUUCCCUUUCUGUUUUUGUUUCUUUUAUUCAUAUUUGAAUGAACAAACGAAUCUUUUGUUUUUUAUUUUAUGAUAGUAACUGCUGACAACAGAGGAAAAAAAUUAUGUCUCCUAAUGCAAACAUGAGUAGGCAUGGUCCAGCCAAGAAAUGUUUCCAACUUAUUUGAGGAAGUUCCUUUUUAUUCCUUAUUUUCUGAGUAGAUGUUUAAUUCUGUCAAAUGAUUUUUAUUCAUUAGUGAAAUGAUAAUGUUUUUAUUAUGUUGAGUACUUUUAUAGGGUCCUCUGGAUGUUUUGAAUAUUGUAUUGUAAGACCCUGGGUCCUGUUAAAAUCUUCUGGAAUUGUUUUUUUAGCAGGCAAUCAACCCCAUUAGGUUCAGACCAAAUUCUGCCUCACCUUCUACAGGUAGUAUCCAAUGUCAAAUCAGUGUUCAUUGCCUUCGAUAUGCUGUUUCGGUCAGUCUAGCAAAUACAUUCCUUAGGUUUCUUCUGGACUAGUUGCUGGUUUGUGUGGUAAUUCAGUUUUCUCAUCCUUUGCCAUGAUUCCUUGGGUCUAUUCCACACAUAUUCUGGGGAUGAGCCCUGGGACUUUUAUCAGCUCAUAGACAGUUUUCCAGACUCUCUUCUCUCUGGUAUUUCUUCCAUACUUUCCAGUUUCCCAGGGUCCCUUUUCCCAGUUCCUCUGUUCAGAAAGAGUGAGUUCUCUCAGAGAUUUCUCUUCUCACACUGUUUUGCUUUUCUUUCUUUCUUUUCUUUCUUUUUUUUUUUUUUUUAAGUUUAUUUAUUCUGAGAGAGAGUGCACAAGGGCCGGGGAGGGGCAGAGAGAGAGAGAAAGAGAGAGAGAGAAUCCCAAGCAGGCUCUGCACUGUCAGCAUGGAGCCUGACUCUGGGGGACAGGGGUAGGGAGGGUGGGAGGGUGGUCUGGAACCCACAAACCAUGAGAUCAUGCCCUGAGCCAAAGUCAAGAGUCAGAGAGAUGCUUUAACUGAGCCACCCAGGUGCCCCCUCACUGUAUUGCAGUUCUGAAUGACUGGGGCUACUUUAAGAGCAAGGAGGCAAGAAAAUUGAGAAAUAGAAAAUAAAAGGGGGCACUUUUCACACUUUUCAGGCAAGAGAUCCCGUUUUCCUAGUUCUUUUGAUCAGAGAGCUAGAUUCUCUUUUGUGAUUUAAGGUUUAGGCAGUUCUGCAACUGGGCUGGUCUCUAAGCCGGGUCAGGAAAGAAGAAAAAGAAAAAAAGAGAAGUUUCUCUUCAUGUUCUCCACUCACUGACAUGCACAGGUGCCUUUGUCCAGUCAUUGGGUUGGAAGGGUUAGGUGGUUUCUCCAGAAGUUUUUGCUCCUUAGAGACUGCAGUGAGUUCUUUAUGAAAGCCUAAUAGGACACACAACCGCAGUUUAGCCAUCUGCUAUGGGGCAAAAAUGAAGGUUACAACUGGAGAAGUCCAGAAGGCAACUGAACAAGUAUUCCAAGCACUGGUGAACAGCAGACAUUUUAAACUUUUUGCCUUGACUUGGUAGCAGAUGCCAUGGUGAUUAUUCACCACACCAGGAUACAGUCCUCAGCCUUCUCUGCCAGAGCAUUCUACAAAAUCCCCUUACAAAGACUUACUGUCCAGUUUGCUCAAGAAAGCCUGCCAGGCUACUUCUCUGAAGAUACAGUCCUAAGCCUUCUCUGCCAGAGCAUUCUAAACAAACAUGUAGAGUAUUACGUCCCUGAUCAUAUAGGCCCUAAUAUUUGUAAUGUGUGAAAUGGGAUCUGCUCAAUUUCUGACUAGCUGUUUCUGUUUUUUGGUUCUCAGAAAAUCACAAUGAUAAGAAGGAUGAAGAUAGACAGGAGCCACUGGCACCCAGGUAACUGAAGGACAAAAGGGCUGAUAAUGGAAUGGUGAAGUAUAGGGAAGAUUCCAGAAGCAAGUGACCAAGAGGCCAAAGUCCCAGAUCUGGGGGAAAAAAACCGAACCCACUAAUUGUACCUAUUUCAUUCAUUAAUCAUAUAGUGAUGUGUCCUUUUAUUUUUUUUAAUUUAUUUUUAAUGUUUAUUUAUUUUUGAGAGAGAGAGAGAGAGAGAGAGUGCAAGCAGUGGAGGGGCAGAGAGAGAGGGAGACACAGAAUCCAAAGCAGGCUCCAGACUCUGAGCUGUCAGCACAGAGCCAGACAUGAGGCUCGGGCUGACACACCGUGAGAUCAUGACCUGAGCUGAAAUCAGACGCUUAACCAACUGAGCCACUCAGGUGCCCCAAUGAUGUGCCCUUUUAAACAAUGUUGUCUGUUCAUGGUAAGUUCUUGUAUUGGUUACCAUUUCUUAGUAGUUCAUCAAGUUUAGUUAGCUAAAGUCAGUCUGACAUAAAGAUAAACUAGCCAGAGAUCCCUGGUGUCUGUGUUCUAAAAAUGUGUAUGGUAAAAAAAAAAAAAAAUCAAAGUGAGACAUUGUCUCAGGAGCCAGCAUUCAGUGGACAACUUCCUACGAUAGAUAGUAAACAAAAUUUGUCCGCAGGAUUUUAAAACCAAUAUUCUAGGUCUCUGUGUGUCACAAGUGCCUUUUAGAAUAGUUGAGUCUACUUCCUCAUCCACAUGUUAUGAGGUCAGUACACUGAGCACCUGCUGCCCCCUUCUAUCCCAGUUCUAGGCUCAUGAACCCAUCAAAGUGGAUUGCUAUGCUUUCUCUCUCAUCCAGAUGGCCUCUUUGCUUUCUGGUGUGGCUUCCAGGAGCUUCAGACGGGACCAGCUGCGAAGCUGUGGUUCCAGGUUGCCGCAGUUUAAUCUCCUGUCUUACCUCCCUGCCAUCCUCCCCAGGCUCAGCAGGGGGCUCCAGGAGGAAGAAGUGAAUGAAGCCCUGGAAGCCUCACUAGAUGAACAGUAUUUGACUCAUUCCAGUCGCCAUGACUCUCACCAGCUUCCCCGCAGCAGUUCCUUCCUGCUUGACAUGCAGGAAGCCAGCUCUGCUGUGGAAGUCACCAGUGAGUACUUCCAUUAUAAAGAGAAUAAAGGAACACAAGACUGGAGAAUAAAGCUCCAAUAGUUUCUACAUGCUUACCACCUUGGUUUAGGCUGAGUGAGACCAUCUAGUAGGCAGGCCCUAAAGAUUAACCUUGAAAAAGCUAUCAGGCUGGACGUGCAGCUCGGACCAAGUUUCAAAUACAGGUCCUUGGUGGGUCAGGUAAUUUGUUGCAUUGUUCGUGGUCCACACCUCAUCUCAGUCACUCUGUCCCCCACUGGCAUCUGCAAGCUAAUGGAGUCUAGGCAAGCCAGAUUGGAGAAUGGAGAGAUGAUGGUGGACUGUGUGCCACUAUUUCAGCAUGUGCACAGAAUCUAACAGACCUCCUCUAAGACGAAGCAACUUACCUUUCUGGGAAUGUUCUUGCUGAUUAUAGUUCCUGAAGAGUGUCCCUUAAGCUUUUCUAGCUGAGAAAUACUGGCAGUGCUGCCCAUAUUUUUGGAGGUGCGGUUAUCAUGAUUGCAGUCCCCAUCUCCCCUCAGAUGGCUUGCUUCCUCAUAAGGUUCCAUCUUAGUACCAGAGCAUCAAGUGGUUUCCCUAAAGACAAGGCUCAGCUCUUGGCAACCCUUGGGUAAGUGACCAGGGUUCCCGUCCUAUGUGUAGCACCAUUUUUAAAUAAUGUCUGUGGGUUUAGUCUCAGUACUGUAAUCUAAUCUAAAACCAACAGCCAGCCUAUCUACUGAAGAAAAGGCUGGGUCUAGCAGCCAUGCCACAAGCAUGCCCCUUUCCUAAAAAAGCCCCACCUAGCCAGUGUAGCUCCUCCAGGCAUGUAAGAGCCCCUCGGGAUAGCGGCCUCACGGGUGUGUGUAGAUUAAAGCCUCAACCUUCAUUUCCUUCCCCCCCCCCUUUUUUUUUUGACUAUUUGACUUUCCUUUGGGGAUAAAAGUUUGGAUUAUUAGAGAACUAUAUGUCUUAUGUCUUCUUGUAGGCAUGAGAAAGAGACUAUAUUAAUUCACUCACUGUUAACUGAGUUUUUUAAUAGUGAUAUAAGCCAUGUCAGGCUUUGUCUUUUUGCCAGUGGUGGGUGUCUUUUCUUACUCAGGCAAUCCCCUUACAAAGGCUUCCUCAUUCCCAUUUCACUUUGAGAUGUAGUGGGAGGUUGUCCUCUAUAAAUGACGUUCAGACACAAAUCAUGUGGGAGAGAUAUUUAGUAGAGACAUUCCUUAGUACCCAAAAGUCUUAUAUAAGAGGGGCCACACCUUUCCCAGUACUAGAUAAGCCCUACUCUGAAGGCUGAUUCCAUAUUUUACCACCUUAUAUCAACCUCCUUUAUACUUCCCAUAUCCUUGUAUGGGAGGUGGCCCUGUGAAGUUUGCUUAGCACUGGGUCAUGCUUUGUUUGAAGGCCUGCAGGCUCCUACAGGAGGUUCCCAGGUAUUUCCUGAUGAAAGCGGAAGUUGGCAGAAGAAUGGUGCAAGGCAGGGAUCUUGCUGAGAGGCCCUUGGCCACCCCAUUAGUGAUAAGGAUUCUCCAUCUUCUACCUCAUUCCCUGUCCUGGUGGAAUGGCUGCAGAAGAUGAGAUCCAGAACCUGUACCAGCACCUGAGGGAAAUUCUUUUCAUCAAUGCCUGCCUUCAAGAAAAGCUGGAACAUCAUCUCAGCAUUUCUGACCAAGGAAACGGUAGGGGAGGCCCAAGUCUGUCUGCUUCUGGCAAUAUGUAUCUUUCUAAGGACUUGUAAUGUGUUGCAGGGCUUCACAGGUUUCAAGAACUUGACGUGCUUUAUACUUCACUUAUUCUUACAAAUGGCCCAACUAGGGAGAAUAGGGCAGGUAUUAACAUUCCUACUUUUUAGAUGAGUAAAUAGGCUCAGAUAGAGGUUUGCCCCAAGACUGAGCUGUCCCUCCAUCUUAAGAGUUAUCUGACCUCCAAAAGCCUUCUUGUGACUCCUAAGCUGUACACUUUCUGCUGCUCUUCUCCUCUUAUGCAGUCAUUCAGUAGAACCCAGGUUGCUGAGCACCUCAUUCAGCAGAGUGAGGGUCUCUGCUGCUGUCAUCCUUACCCCCCUCCCUAAUGUCUUGGUUACUCUUCAUUGUUCUCAAGGUUGUUCUUCUCCACACAUCUUCCUCUUACAUUGCACUCACGCAGAGGCCAUCAUUUCCCAGUCUCAGGCUGGGCCAGAACAGUGACUGGGCCUCUUUCCAUAUCAAAGGAGCAACUAUUUAAUGAGAAAAGUCUCCUUCAUAAUUUCAGCCAUUGGGUGUGAUAAUACAAAGGAAUGAGCUGGCAUUUGUUCAGGGCCUGGUGAAAAUUAAGCAUCUGCCCCAUAAUGCUGAAGUUCCAACCUUUGAGUCCCCAGAGGUUUCUCCUGGGCUGAGACAGAAGGGGAAAAGGAAUUGCAGAAAGCAUUAUCUUAAGCAAAUGUGUGGAACUUGCCUAAACUGCUAAUUAUUUCCUGCAAUAGGAUAUACUUCUGACUUCUACAGGGAGAGCUUGGACUCCCUUGCCCAGCUGUACAAUGAAAACAGAGAUAUCAGGAAAGAAAGUCUGAGCCUUCUGGCUCACCUGAAUCGUAUUUCCAGAGGUAA